RNAcentral lists this ribosomal RNA (257 nucleotides) under uncultured bacterium. RNAcentral's name for it is "partial 16S ribosomal RNA". It matches the Rfam family "Bacterial small subunit ribosomal RNA", at positions 98 to 354 of the family's 1533-position model. The record is from RNAcentral.
CGGGACUGGUGAGUAACGCGUGAGGAACCUGCCUUUCGGAGGGGGACAACAGUUGGAAACGACUGCUAAUACCGCAUGACGUAUCGGGAUCGCAUGGUCUUGAUACCAAAGAUUUUAUCGCCGAAAGAUGGCCUCGCGUCUGAUUAGCUAGUUGGUGGGGCAACGGCCUACCAAGGCGACGAUCAGUAGCCGGACUGAGAGGUUGGCCGGCCACAUUGGGACUGAGAUACGGCCCAGACUCCUACGGGAGGCAGCAG